Gasterosteus aculeatus aculeatus (three-spined stickleback) is the source of this 1391-nucleotide long non-coding RNA. Lineage: Eukaryota; Metazoa; Chordata; Actinopteri; Perciformes; Gasterosteidae. The record is from Ensembl.
AAAACGGAUUCAUUUAAUUUAUUUUUUAUCGAAAUGUAUUUAUUAUUGUUUAGAUAAUAAUCACAUGACAUUACUUCGAUGACAUUACUUACAUGAUACAAUAACACGCAUACAAACAAUAACAAUAAUAACAACACAAUGAUUGGGGGGAAAUCUGAAGCAGUUCCUGAGAAGAAAGAAGAGAAGAAAAGUUAUUGACAUGUUAAUGUUGUUAGUGUGUUUUUUUGUAGAACAAAAUGUUAGUGUGUAUUUGUCUGGAUCUAAAUAUUAAUGAUCAAUGUGUACAUCUAAAUAUUAAUGUGUCUAUUUGUGUCUAAAUAUUAGUGUGUCUAUGUGUACAUCUAAAUAUUAAUGAUCUAUGUGUACAUCAGUGGCUUAAAGCGUUUGCUUAGUUUCUACGUUCAAAGUCAAAACUGUUUUUCUUAUAUCGGCUGGAAACACCUGCCGAGCCCCCAAAGGUUCCUACCCUAUAUAGGCUGACCCGCCCAUCAAUCAGAUGCUGCCAUACAUCAUAAAUCGGCUCUUACAGGUAGUGUGUCUAUGUGUAUAUCUAAAUAUUAAUGUUUCUAUGCGUACAUCUCAAUAUUAAUGUGUAUAUGUGUACAUCUAAAUAUUAAUGUGUCUAUGUGUACAUCUCAAUAUUAAUGAUCUAUGUGUACAUCUCAAUAUUAAUGUGUAUAUGUGUACAUCUCAAUAUUAAUGAUCUAUGUGUACAUCUCAAUAUUAAUGUGUAUAUGUGUACAUCUCAAUAUUAAUGUGUCUAUGUGUACAUCUCAAUAUUAAUGUGUAUAUGUAUACAUCUCAAUAUUAAUGUGUAUAUGUGUACAUCUCAAUAUUAAUGAUCUAUGUGUACAUCUAAAUAUGAAUGUGUAUAUGUGUACAUCUCAAUAUUAAUGAUCUAUGUGUACAUCUCAAUAUUAAUGUGUCUAUGUGUACAUCUCAAUAUUAAUGAUCUAUGUGUACAUCUCAAUAUUAAUGUGUCUAUGUGUACAUCUCAAUAUUAAUGAUCUAUGUGUACAUCUAAAUAUUAAUGAUCUAUGUGUACAUCUCAAUAUUAAUAAUCUAUGUGUACAUAUAAAUAUUAAUGAUCUUUGUGUAUCUAAAUGUUAAUGUGUGUCUAAAUAUUUAUGAUCUAAGGCCGGCUCCCAGCCGCCGUCCUCCUCUUCUUCAUCAAAUUCGCCUUCCAUUUAACAACAGUCAACCAGUUCGUAUGUAUUUUACCCGGGCAGACAGCUAUGUUCUGAAAGUUUAUACUAACCUUUCAGAGAAAAUGUUUGUGUCCACGAGCUUAUGUUAGCCUCGCAGAAUUAAUUUAUGCUGAAAGUUUAUACUAACCUUUCAGAGAAAAUGUUUGUUUCCACGAGCUUAUGUUAGCCUCGCAGAAUUAAUUU